Molecule: long non-coding RNA, 498 nt
Organism: Poecilia latipinna (sailfin molly)
Lineage: Eukaryota; Metazoa; Chordata; Actinopteri; Cyprinodontiformes; Poeciliidae
Exons: 3
Source: RefSeq, a predicted model, not a curated record
CAAUUAUUACCAAAUUAUCCUUUUUUUCUUCCUUUAAGUCUGACUGCCAGUAUCAUAUGUUAAUAAUCAUAUAACACACCAAGAUGUUCUCACCUCCAAACUUGUGUUUGAAUUAUGUUUUCUGCUCCAACCAACCAGCUGAGAGUCUGAUUUCCACUAAUAUAGACCAAUAUUGUAUUCUAAAGAAGAGGAGAUUUCAACAUCCUUUCACUUUAUUUACAGAGGACUUAAUUAAUAGGUUAAUUUACUGAUUGUUUGCGAAUGUGUGGCUUACUUGGGUCAUCAGCCACUGCGGUAAAUUUAUGGUUGUUAAACCCAUCAUUAAAUUUACUCAGAUAAACAUUGACAGGUUUGAAACGUAUCUUCCCUGUUGCAAACUUAAUUCAGGUUUCAUUAUGGGUCAAGUUUAAUUAAAACAUCUCAUAAAUGAAUUGCUCUUUUCGCUAGCACAUACGCUGCUAUUUCUAUUUGCGAACUGAUUACAUACAAUUUUAAGAU